Molecule: long non-coding RNA, 258 nt
Filed under: Arabidopsis lyrata
Lineage: Eukaryota; Viridiplantae; Streptophyta; Magnoliopsida; Brassicales; Brassicaceae
Description: long non-coding RNA (ALYR_LNC003266)
Source: RNAcentral
AUUUUAAAAUAGCUUAUUGAGAAUAAUUACACGUAUAAGAUCCGCUUACUUGCAAAUCCGUGGCGAAUUUAUACUAUUAAAACUGAAAAUUUCAAAGAUUGCAAAUUCAAUCGACAUAUACAAAAUCUGUAAAACUAUAAAUCUGAUUCAAUAAAAGGCUUACCUAUACAUAGGAUUCAAGAAUUGAACAAGUAGAAGUAUGAAAGGAGACGAAGUACUGAAUUUUCUAUGAGAAACCUCGCAAAUGCUUCUGGAAUU